This is a long non-coding RNA of Drosophila ficusphila, 338 nucleotides long. RefSeq lists it as uncharacterized. NCBI's taxonomy places the organism in Eukaryota, Metazoa, Arthropoda, Insecta, Diptera, Drosophilidae. The transcript is spliced from 3 exons. The record is from RefSeq and is a predicted model, not a curated record.
CGAGGAGCACCGAAAAUGCAACGCAAAGUGGGCAAAAUAGAAAAGCUCAGCCACUAAAGUAAAAAAUAUUUAAAGAAAAGGAUAUAUUCAAAACAAUAAUUUUAAAACAGUUUUAAUCAAAGUAGUCAACAAUUAGGCAUAACUCUAAAAAUAACUGCUAUCAGUACCGAUUUAACAGCGAAUUCCAGAAUAAACGUGCUGGAAGCAUUGUGUCGCGUCCAACGCAGCUUUUGUGGGAAGUUGGCGCGACGCAGACGCUCUAAAUAGCCAUCCGUGGCAACGGCGGUGAGGAAGAUCUUUCUCACAUGCGGCAACACUUGGUCUUUUAGCUGUCUGGC